Long non-coding RNA from Ailuropoda melanoleuca (giant panda), 445 nucleotides. RefSeq lists it as uncharacterized. The record is from RefSeq and is a predicted model, not a curated record. Lineage: Eukaryota; Metazoa; Chordata; Mammalia; Carnivora; Ursidae. The transcript is spliced from 3 exons.
CGGAAGUCGGCUGCCGGUGUGCGUGAACCCUGUGUGGAGAGGAAGGAGGAGUGUUUGUAGCCCCGACGUCGGUCAGCAGGCGCAGUGAAAGACAAAGAUGAAGACCCCCUGGAAGGCGUUGAAGGUGGUGAAGAGAUAGGCCAUGACCACGGACUCCUUAUUGAUGAAGAGCAGGCCGAAGGCCCAGGUGAGGCCCAGCAGGAAGAGCAGCGCGAUGGCCCCCAGGGCCCAGGAUCUGGGGGAGGGGACAGGAAUGUCAAAGUCCUUGCUAGUGGAGAAACCUCCCCCGCUGCUCUGGGUCCCUCUUCAGGAAGAGCAGCUCGGCCAGAAAGAGGUUGAUGCACAGGUUCUUGUGGAUGGUGUUGCGGUCGGUCUGCAACCCCCGCAAGAAGCAGAAGGUGGAGAUACAGAUGGCCAGGCAGACGAGGGAGAUCACGAUGCCCAC